CGAACGGAAAAUAGGUAGAAAGAGUAUUUUUGGGAAAUUUGGAUAUGGAUCAGCGGAAGUAUACUGGAGGAUGACGUGGUCGAAUUUGGGAUUAAUUGGAGGAAAUUUGGUGCAUGAAAUGACGAGUUAAACAUGAAUUAGGGGCUUAAAAAGGAGGUUUAGGACUGAUUUGCGAGGAACCAGGGACCUAUUUGUAAAUAUUUUUGGGAGUGGGAGGGCAGAUCUGCGAAAAGGGGUAUGAGAGUGGUGGAAGGGCUUAUUUGUAAAUUGGGGAAAGGUGGGGGUUAGAUCAGAAUUUUGGGGAAUUUUCCCUUCUUCUUUCUUGGGCCGGUCAGGAGGUUGAGGAGGGGUGGAGGGUCGACGGCAGCCGGCCGGCCGGCCUCAUCGGCGGCGAGCCGUGGGGCGGAGGAGGUGGAGGAAGGGAAGAGGAUCCCAUUUUGGCUCCUUUACCGUGGAUGGCGGCACCGGGGAAGGGGCGUCUGGCAAGAGGUUGGGGGCGACGCACGGCACGGCGGCGGCGCACUGGCGGCGGCGGUGGCUGGGCGCAGGGAGGAGGGCGGCUGCUCGGUGGAGUGGUGGUGGGACGACGAGGCAAGGCCGGCGGCUUUUAUAGGCGGCGGGGAAGGCGCCGGCGGUAGGGCCUGGACGGAGCGUCGCGGAAGGUAGGCGCGGCCGGUGGUGCCGCGGCCGGCGCAAUGAUGGCGCGGGGGCCGGGGCGGAGCUGAGCAACCGCGGUGGAGGGGAGUGGUGCCGGCGAUGGGGCACGGGUGCUGGGGAGGAGGCGAUGCCAUGGCAGGGCCGGCGGGGCCGGACCGGGUGAGGCCGGCGUCGGGGCGCAGGCACGGGGCUCGGGGUGGCCGGGCGCCAAGGGCCGAGCUCCAGGGGCCGGAGAGGCCGGGGGGGCGGCGCUUGGAUUAAUGGUGCUAGGUGCCAGGAAGAUGGGAGGAUAAGGAAAGAGAAGAAGGAAGAAGGAAGAAGAAGGAGGAAGGAGAAGGAAAAAGAAAGAGAGGGAGAGAGAGAAAAAGGAAAAAUUAAGGAAAAAGGGGGCAAAAGAGAAAACGAAGGGGGGUGCCGGCAGCGAUUACGGCACGCGGUCGGGGCAUGCGCGGCGGUCUAUUGACCGGCACACGGCGAGAAUCACGGGAGAAGAUAAAAUGAUGGUGUCGGCUUGGGUGCCGGGACGGCGAAAUCGCCGGGAAGAGUUUGGAUUUUCGGGAGCUCAACGAUAAAAAGAUUUUGAAAGUGAUUUUUAAUGGGUGAUUUUAGGUGGUAAUUUUUUGCGGAUGUUACAUUACCACUACGACUACUACCACUAAUUCUUCUUCUUCUACUACUACCACUAAUUCUUAUUCUUCUUCUACUACUACUACUAAUUCUUCUUAUUCUUCUACCACUAAUUCUUCUUCUUCUUCCACCACUAAUUCUUCU
RNAcentral lists this long non-coding RNA (1428 nucleotides) under Setaria viridis. RNAcentral's name for it is "long non-coding RNA (SVIR_LNC005654)". The record is from RNAcentral. Lineage: Eukaryota; Viridiplantae; Streptophyta; Magnoliopsida; Poales; Poaceae.